CCCUUCUCUGCUGAGUGCUCACUAUUUUCCGCAAAUUGAAGUGCAAAGCAAAAUACUAGCAUAUUAAAGGCCGAAUUUUACUUCCUCCUCCCAAAUGCUUUUUGUUCUCAUAGUCCAUCCAAAUUCCAUACAUAAAAUCAAUUUCCAAUGAACAAAAUCCAGCCAAAUGAAUUAUUCAUACAAAUCACGUCAAGCAAAUUUCAUGCUUAUUUCUGGGGUGGUUUUAAAUUAGGUAUUAAUCAAUUCAAACACAUCUAAUAUUAACAUUAAGUUUAUAGUCAUGAACAAAACAUUUGAUAUCAGGCAAAUGAACAAAUUCACCAAAUUUUGUAGCAUAGGAAGGGGAAAUCAGUAAUUACAUUUUUCGAAUUGAGAUAAAUACCUCAACAGCUGAAACAAACUUAGCAGGACCAAAUAAAGGCUAAGAACAGACACGAAUUCGAUUACAAAUGAAGCGAAACAGUAGCAAACAAACAACGAUCCGAUCGAGACUAACGCCGGCGCCGGAAACCUCGAAUGCUUUAUGGGUGAGCUGGUGCUUUUGCGGCAGAUUAUAUAGCUGUUUUUCGCUAAGUUUCGACUGCUUUUUGGCCAGAUUUCAGACUGUUUUUCAAGUGAUUUCGGCAGCUGGUUUUUUGCUGGGUUUCGGAGUGAUUUUCGGACAGCUUUCAAGGCGUUUUUGGGGUGGGUUUAUGGGUGACGUUGGUGCUGUUUUUUUGGCUGAAAAUUUCUGCAAUUUUGAAGCUUUGCUUGGCUGGUUUCAGUGGACUUUUGGAGCUUGAGUUUGAGGCUUUUUAUUUUGGGUGUUAAUGGCUAAUUUUUCAUGAUCUUUUCCCCAUCCCCCUUUUAAAUAGGUUGCUUUUGUUCUUUCUUAAUUGAUGCACCAGAGAAAAAGCUUGGCUUGACAGAGACGUACUCUAACCAAUUGGUUUUACAGAUGUGCUUCAACCUUUCUUAGUAGAGAAUUUUAAGAGUGCCGUUUUUUGUUGAUGAAGAAGAUGACCUCAAGGCUGCUCUUUAUCUCUUAGGGUGUAUGUCUUUUUGUUUUUGGGUAGGUCUUAGUUUUACGCGGAGGGGAGUAGAAAUUAGGUCAGGUCAAACGAGGUAAUGAAUAUGACCUUGGAUUUAGGAAAUUGAGUUGAAUCAUGUCUUAUUGGGUUUUAAUUUUGGGCUAGAAAAACUAAAUAACAUAUUGUAAUUAUAAAAUAUAAUAAUCAAUCUUAAUUAAAAUAAGUUACUAAAAUAAAACUAAAUACUAGAAGUGAAACUAUUUGUAUUUUUAAAUUUUAUGAAUGGUAGAUAAACUAAAAGUAACUAAAUAAAAUCAAUUAGCUAGAUAAAGAAUAUAUAUAUAUAUAUAUAUAUUAAAUUUUUUUAAUUUUCACUUUUUGGGUGAUAAAAUAAAGUAAAAGAGUCAACAUUAGUUGAAAUAACUAUUGUCACACCUACCUUUUUACCUACACUCCGUAAAGGGCUAUAAUAUAAGGGGGUUUUUCCAAUUAAAGGACAAUCGAAACAGGAUUUAUAUAAAAAAAUUCAGAGUCGCCACUUGAGAGAUUUAUGGUGUCCCAAGUCACCGGUUGAAUCCCGAAUCGAGGAAAAUAUGACUCUCUUUAACAGUCCGCGAAUCAGAAAUCCGAGUAAAGAAUUCUGUUAACCCGGGAGAAGGUGUUAGGCAUUCCCGAGUUCUGUGGUUCUAGCACGGUCGCUCAACUGUUAUAAUUGGCCUAUUAUCUGAUUUUAAUACAUUUUUGAAACAUAAGUGCUUUUUUUCUAACUUUUGGAAAACCACUUUUACUCAUUUAAAGAAUUAAUUCAAGGUCAUUUAAAAUGUAUCGCAAGCCACACCACAUAAAAUCCACCCGUGGUUCACGACACGCUCUAUUUAACCUUGUUGGAAAUUAGAAUCGGGUCACAUAAAAUGCACCCCCGGGUUUUAACAUGUUUACUUCUACUAUCUUUAUUCAAAAUUAUGGUAGGGUCACAUGAAAUGCACACCCGAGUUUAAGAAAGUAAAUUAUUAAAACAUCGCGCCUAAAACAAUUACGCAUUUAUUUUUUCUAUGUUAUCAGUUUAUCAGAAAUGGUCAUUUCUACCUAUUAGACCAAUAUGUAAUUAAACUAUGACACGAAUCCAAACUAAUGCGAUUUAAUCCAAACAGAAUAGUCUCGUCGUUAUCACUUAUAGUCUAUUUAUCACUCUUACAUGUUUUAAACAUUAAACCUACGUCUCAAAUUAUUGUUAAGGCAUAUACUUAUCCUGGUUCCACACAACGAAAGUUAAUUCACACAAAAAACCAAACAUCAGCGGUUAAGGCAUACACUACUGACGAUAUACGUUAUCCUAAAACAACCAUACAUGAAAAUGAAGCAGUAGUGCACCAGCAAAGUCCAUCAAAACUAUUUGAAAAUGGAGUAGUAAAGGAACUGACCUUUUAAUUAAGAAAACUGAAAUCUUCUAGUGCAGAAGAAUCGAAAACAGUGAGAAUGAUCCCAACGGACCUUGGACGGAAAGCCAACAACUGACCAGCGCCCGACCAAAACAUACGUCGGCGAUUCUAGCGGGACUUUUUCUGAUCGGAGAACUCGAUGACGACAUCAACGACAAACUCGAAUCUCCGACUUUACCUCGAUCGCGAUUUCAACAGAUUGAAUGGACGAUGUUCUGUAGUAAACCAAGCGAAGCCUGAAACCAUAUUCACGUUCCUGUCAUGCUCACAAAAUUCGAGGGGUUCGCUACUAUCCCUUUCUCGUUCUGUGCGUGUGUGUGGCUAUGUGUAAGUGUUUUCCGGUGAGAGGGAGAUGAGGGUCGCGUUUUUCGUGACAGAAUGGAAAGGAGGAGAUUGGCUACUGCUGUGCGUGGCUGUUCAUGGUGUUGGCUGGUUGUUUGUGACGUGAAGCUUCGCCGGAAAUGGCAGCUUUGCGGUGAACGGAGGUCCAGCGACGAUGGUGAGCUGGGUGAUGUCGUUUGGUUCUGUUUGUCGCGUCUGGAACUCGUUAAUCCGACGAGCUGGUGGAGCUCGUUUUUCCAGCGAGUUUCAGGCAGAGACGGGGUCGUUUGACGAUUAACGUUCAGGGGUCGUUGGUGUUUUCUCCGGCGUGCAUGGGUUGUGUAUGGAUGCGCAGGGUGUAGGCUGGUCAUUUGGACAGCACAACAUCGCCGGAAGCGUAGGGUCGUUUGGACAGGAACAGCGUCGCCGGCAGCGUAGGGUCGUUUGGACAGGAACAACGACGCGCAGAGGGGGGUCGAGGGGUCGUUAAGAAGACGACGCAGGGGGGGGGGGUCGUUUUUGCGUAGCUGCUGCGUAUUUUUUGUCCAGCCUUGUUUCGUUUUUUUGCUUUUCUUUCAUUUAUAUAGUCUAAGUUUUUGGUAGGGUUUUAGGUUAAGGGGUAUGGGCCUAAGAAUUAUGGGCUAGGUCCAAAAUUAGGCCCAAAGAUGGGUUGCUCGAGGCCCAAGCUCUUAAUUCUUUGCGCUGNNNNNNNNNNNNNNNNNNNNNNNNNNNNNNNNNNNNNNNNNNNNNNNNNNNNNNNNNNNNNNNNNNNNNNNNNNNNNNNNNNNNNNNNNNNNNNNNNNNNNNNNNNNNNNNNNNNNNNNNNNNNNNNNNNNNNNNNNNNNNNNNNNNNNNNNNNNNNNNNNNNNNNNNNNNNNNNNNNNNNNNNNNNNNNNNNNNNNNNNNNNNNNNNNNNNNNNNNNNNNNNNNNNNNNNNNNNNNNNNNNNNNNNNNNNNNNNNNNNNNNNNNNNNNNNNNNNNNNNNNNNNNNNNNNNNNNNNNNNNNNNNNNNNNNNNNNNNNNNNUAAAAGAGUCAAAAUUACUUAAGAUAUCUAUAUUAUGCCUAAAUUAAAUAUUUUACGCUAAUAUAUAAAAAAAAUCUUGGGGAGGGUCAAAAAUCAUAUGUCUACAACUAUACUAGACCUAAACUAAAUAUUUACACUAAAAAUGUGUAAAAAAUCUUGGGAGGGUAAAAAAUUACAUGUCUACAGAUAUCAACAGGAUAGAGUCACUAAAUGGUGCCAUGGAAUCACCCAGGUCACAAUUCUCACGGUGCACGUCUGCACGCCCGUCACUUGGCAAGUGCGUCAUCUCAAUACCAAUAACAUAACACAUAAUUUGGGGUUUCGAACCCUUAGAACCAAGUUUGAAAGCGUUACUUACCUUGAACCGAGCAAAAAUCUACUCUGCAAUGCCCUUGCCUCUCAAAUCGGCCUCCGAAUGUCCCAAAUGUAGCCACAAGUAAUACAUUACAAUCAAUAUAGGCUAAAUGGAUCAAUUUGACAAGAAAACUACCAAAUUAGAGCCAAAUCCAAAAUCAGCUCAAACCCCCUGGACCCACGUCUCGAAAUCCGACAAAAGUCAUAAAAUCCGAAAGCUCAUUCAUUCACGAGUCUAACCAUACUAAAUUCAUCAAAAUCCAACAUCAUUUGCCCCUCCAAAUCCCCAAAAUUCACUCUCUAAUUCUCAAACCCUAAUCUCCCAAGUUUCACCUCAAAAACUCACCAACUAGGUGUCAAAUCAGUGAGGAACCACCAUUAUUGAAGAAUAGGCACAAGGAACUUACCUCAGUGAUUGCUUCGAAAUCCCUCUCAAAAUCCCCAAAAUCUUAGCUCAAAAAUGAUGAAAAUGGUGAAAAAUCUCGAAGUCUUCUAUUUAUAGGUUUUGCCAAGCUAAACCACACAUGUGGAUCUCCUGUCGCAUCUGCGAUGCCGCACCUGCGGGAAUUCCAUUGCAGGUGCGGAUUUUCACUUAAAAUCCCUGACUUUGCUGCUGCGACUUCAUGACCGCAUCUGCGCCUAUCGCAGGUGUGGGAGUCCAUCGCACCUGCGGCUUUCCAACGCACCUGCACCUAGCUGCACGCAUCUGAGACACUCGUAGGUGCGGGAAAAUCUUCGCACCUACGGCUUCUACCCAACUCCUUCUUAGCCUCAUCUACGGCUCCUUCUUCGUUUUUACGAACUCACACUUGUGGUUCCUACUCCGCAGGUGUGAUUACACCAGCAACAACAGCACUUCAACUGCUCAUUCAAUUCCAAAACCAAGUAUUAAACCUCCCAAAUUUCACUCGAGGCCCACGAGACCUCAACCAAAUAUAACAACAAGUCAUAUGACCCCAUGUGAACUUAGUCGAACCUUCGAAUCACUAAAAACGAUAUCAAAACACCAAAUUACACUCGGAUUCAAGCCUAAAGAAAUUCUAAACUUUCAAAUUCCACAAACGACACCGAAACCUAUCAAACUAUGUCCAAUUGACCUUAAAUUUUGCACACGUCAUAUGACACAACGGACCUACUCUAAUUCCCGAAAUUUCAAUCCGACCCCAAUAUCAAUAUUUCCACUAGUAGUCAAAUUCGCCAAAAGUUUAACUUUCGCCAAUUCAAGCUUAAUUCUACUACGGACCUCCAAAUCACAUUCCGGAUACGCUCCUAAGUCCUAAAUCACCUAACGGAGCUAACAGAACCAUCAAAAUUCAAAUCCGAUGUCGUUUACACAUAAAAUCGACAUCCAGUCAACCUUUUCAACUUAAGCUUUCAAUUAAGAGACUAUGUGUCUCAAUUCACUCCAAAACCACUCUUGACCCGAACUAACUAACCCUGUAUAUCAUAAUAUAGUUGUAGAACACAAAAGAACAGGAAAUGGGGGUGGGGUGGGGGGAAUGAGGCUAUAAAUCUCGAAAUGACAGGCCGGUUCGUUACACCAACGCAAAAGUAUUUUACAAAAUAAAACAAGCAAUGACAAGAAAUUGUUUUAAACACAUACACACACUGCCUUAGUUCCUCUAUAGAAAGUACUUCAGGGUAUUGAUGACUUUGGUGCAGAAAGAGUCAUAGGAGGUUUCAACUUCUUUGUUCAUUUUGUCCAUCUUUUCUGUCAUGGAGUUGAAUUCCCUAAUUCCUUGCCUCCUUGUGGCUCCCAUGUCCAUCCUGAGCUUAGCCAUAUCUGUACCUGUUUCUUUGGUGACUUCCCUGAUCUUGUCCACCUGUUCUUUCAUUGCAAUGAGCAUGAUUUUUACCCCAUCUAGACUUUGCUAAAUUUGUUGUAUGUUGUAGUGGCAGUCGACUGAGGCUCUGUUGAUUUAGUAGGUGCUUCGACCUGUGCUGGAGCACUUUCAACCUUGGCACGUCUGACCCAUCCAUCGUCAUUUAAGGUGUAGUCCAUCAUAGCAAAGGCUAUAUUAUCAUAGGAAAAAGUAAUGGGCUUGGGCAAGAAAGGUGCCAAGUCAACCUUCAUGACUUCAAGAAUAUGUGAGAUAAGCAAACCACAGGGUAAACAAGCAGUAAAAGAGGAUAUAUCCCUGAUACUUUCAAGCAUAUACUGACGAAUCCACAUAAGCUAGUCAAGCCUUUUAUUGUUCACAAGACAAUAAAGAAUAAAGAUAUCUCUAGGAGUCAAAAUGUUGAGGGACCCAGUUCUAGGAAGUAAAGUAGUAGCUAUCAUGUGGGCUAAAAUGCAGUGUUCAAACUUGAUAUUUUUAGGACCAAUGUCAGGAGGGUUUUCAGACAGAAAAGCUUUUACCUCUUCUAAAGAAACUUCAAAGUCCUUAGGCUCGGAAUUUUGCACAAAAACAUCAUAACCAUGAAACAUAACAUAAAAUAUCUUCUCAAAUUGAUAGGAAUCAAGAACAAUGCGAGUGCCUAAAACCAUUGACUCCAAGUCAUCUUUGUCAUUAACAAACAGAUUUGCAGUUUCACAGCUUGAUAUUUUUUCAUAUUCUUCUCCACUAAUAGCAUUGUAGAACAGAUUUUUUUCUUUAGCAUUCGCUAUUAUAAUGGUUGAUUGUUCUUCAGUUUAAUCAUCUAAAUCAAGAGGAUCAGUUGAUACUAUGACUUGACCAUUUUCAUCUUUCUUUGGAGGAAUUGGAAGAUUUCCCUUUUUGAUCAUGCACCGAACUUUAAUGUCAUAUGACAUAGUAUAGGUCUCCAUACAUAAUUUCCAGUGAGAAAAGUGUUGACCGUUGAUAUACGGGGGUCGUACCUGAGAAGUUCCUUCUUGAAAUAGCGUUCCAACGACUAUAUUUGAUCCCAUGAUCUUUUCUUCAUUUGUUGUUAAGCAAAGUUCGUGAGCUGGAUCUAAUACCAAUUGAAAGUAUAAGAGAUGGGGUGAAUUGUAACCGAUUUUAAAAAUCUUAGUUGACUAAGUAUGAGUUUAGUUGACUAGACUUUGUGCAGUGAUUGAUUUAUGUAGAGAUAAACUAAAUGAGCAAAAGGAUAAAGAAGACAUAGUAGUUUUUAUACUGGUUCAAUACCGGCAUGGUACCUACAUCCAGUUCCCUUGGGUCACAAGGGUUCUCUUAGAUCUUUGAUAAAUGUUUACAGCAAUAAUGGUUUUAGUUCGUUCACCACCAAUGAUAUACAUCAAUAGUAAUUCUUUCCAAUGUUGACAUAACUCUCAUUUUUUGUUCUAACUCUUCCUAUCUUUUAUGACACUUGUAGACUCAAGAAUACAGUGUUUGUACUAAGAACUAGAAAGGCUUAGAAACAGAUGAUGUAGUUGCGUGAUCGCUUCUUGAGUUUGCCAAUCUUCUUCUAAGAGAGUUUUGAGUAGCCGUUGCAGAUUGGCCUUUGAUUGAGGCACUGAAUGUUCUAAGAGAUUUGACCCAAGUGGUACCUCCGAAUCUUGCACAACAGAUAGGCUGGAUUCGUUUACGUCCUUCCCUUUCAUAUCCAUAAUCAAGGGAGUGAUUUAUGUCUUGAUUUGAUUGAUCAAUCUUUCGUACUUCCAAAUUCUAAAUCAGUCAAUGAAGUAGGGGCCUAAUUUCUUUUAGCGGCCGCACUUUGUAUUUUUCCUUUUUGAUAGCCUCGACAUCCUUUUAUUUAGUUUUGUUCUGACUUCCUUUAACGCCUGGACUUGAUUUUGUUUCCUUUUUGAUGACUUUGACUUCCUUUGAUUUAGCAUCGUUCUUAUUGCUUUUGAUCUCGUUUCUUUUCUGAUGUCCUUACGAAAAGGACUUCUUUUGAAGUAUUGUCGCCUAUUAAUUUCUUGCAAUUAAAUGGAUAUAGUUAUAUUUGCACUAUUGUCAUCAUUGAAACUUAGGUGUAGCAAUCAAGACUUAAGAAACAAACGAGUCAUUCAAUUAACCUCAGGGUCAAGAAACUAGUAAAGGACUUAAAGUGAAGCCAAUAAGUUCAAGAAGAAGAAAGCACAUGCUAAAGCUUCACAUGAUGCUCAGAAGGAACAUAAGGCAGAUACAUGGCAUUUAUGUAAUAAGGAAGGACACUAUCAGAAAGAUUGCCUGAAGUGUAAAGCUUGAUUAGAAAAGAAAGGUAUAAUUAGAGUUUUUGUAUGUUUCGGUUCAGAUUUAGUAGAAGUUUCUAAUAAUACUUGGUGGUUUGAUUCUAGUGCAACUGCUCAUGUAUCUACUACUUUGCGGGGAUUUCUUACGAUCCAAACUACAAAUCCAAAUAAGGAUUUCUUGUUCAUGGGAAAUUGUAUGAAGGCUCCAAUUGAAGGCAUUUGGACUUAUCGUUUGAUCAUAGGGACUAGAUGUCACCUUGAUCUAUUACUGAAUCUUUAUGUACCUUCAGUUUAUAGGAAUUUGAUUUCUCUUUCAAGACUUAAUAUUUUUGGAUUUGAUUUAAAGUUUGGAAUGGAUGUUUUAAUUUAUAUAAGAAUGUUGUUUUUUAUGAUUCUGGUAUACUUAGUGAUGGUUUAUAUAAAUCAAAACUCGAUAUUGAUUUUUCUAAAUCCCUUCUUACUGCUCAACAUAAUGUUAGAAUUAAACGUAGUUCACUAGAUGAAGGUUUUGCUUACUUUUGGCAUAGACAUUUGGGUCACAUAUCCAAAGAAAGGUUAGAAAGAUUAGUAAAGAAUGAGAUUCUUCCAAAUCUAAAUUUUACUGAUCUUAAUAUAUGUUUGGAUUGCAUCAAGGGAAAUCAAACCAAGCAUAGUAAGAAAGGUGCUACAAGAAGCACACAACUUCUUGAAAUUAUACAGACCGAUAUUCGUGGACCCUUUGAUGUUCCAUAUUUUGGCGGAGAAAAAUAUUUUAUCACUUUUAUCGAUGACUUUUCACAUUAAGGAUAUAUCCAUUUGUUGAAAGAAAACUCUCAAGCAACAGAUGUUCUCAAAGUCUUUGUUAAUGAGGUUGAAAGGCAAUUAGAUAAAAAGGUGAAAAUCAUUAGGUCAGAUAGAGGUGGUGAAUAUUAUAAAAAAUAUAAUGAAUCAAGACAAUGUCCAUGUCCAUUUGCAAAGUUCCUCGAAGAAUGUGGCAUAUGUACACAGUAUACUAUGCCAAGAACACCUCAAACAAAAUGGUAUUGCAGAAAGGCGUAAUCAAAUACUUAUGGAUAUGGUUAGGAGCAUGAUGAGUAAUUCCUCAUUACCCAAAUCAUUGUGGAUGUACACUCUUAAAACCGCUAUAUAUUUAUUAAACAGGGUUCCUAGUAAGGCAGUUCCAAAGACUCCUUUUGAACUGUGGGCAGGAAGGAAACCUAGUUUAAGAAACCUGCAUGUUUGGGGUUUCCCCACAAGAAAAGAAAUUAGAUUCUCGAACAGUAAGUGGUUACUUUAUUGAUUACCUAGAGAAAUCUAAAGGGUAUGUAUUUUACUGUCAAAACCAUAGUUUGAGAAUUAAAACCGGUAAUGCAAGAUUCAUUAAUAAUGGUGAAGUUAGUGGGAGUGUUGAAAAAUAAAGUGUGAAAAUAAAAGAGGUGAGGGUCAAUGUUCCAUUACCCAUGAAUGUGCCUACUUCCACAUAAAUAACAAAUAUCUUUCCAGUUGUUGAAAAAUACAACAUUUGGAUGAAAUACUUCAUGAAGAAACUAACUCACAAAUAUCUUACACAAAGGAACCAUAAGAAAUGCCAUUAAGAAAAUCUCAAAGAGUAAGAAAAUUGGCUAUCAGAUGAUUACGUGGUUUAUUUGCAAGAGUCAUAUUUUGACAUUGGUCUUAGUAAGUACCCGGUUUCAUUUUCAUAAGUCAUAGAAAGUAAUAAGUCUGAAAGAUGGAUUGAUGUCAUAAAGAAAGAGCUAAAAUCCAUGGAAUACAAUAAAGUAUGGGAUCUCGUUAAAUUACCAUAAAGUUCUAAAAUAACCAGGUGUAGAUGGGUAUUUAAGACAAAACGCGAUUUAAAUGGCAAUAUUGAACGAUAUAAAGCUAGACUUGUUGCCAAGGAUUAUACUCAGAAAGGAGGCAUUGAUUAUAAAGAGAUCUUUUCACCGAUCUCUAAAAUGUACACGUUAAGAAUUAUUAUGGCUUUGGUAGCUCAUUAUGAUUUAGAGUUACACCAAAUGGAUGUGAAAACUACCUUUCUUAAUUG
Molecule: long non-coding RNA, 10250 nt
Filed under: Nicotiana tabacum (common tobacco)
Lineage: Eukaryota; Viridiplantae; Streptophyta; Magnoliopsida; Solanales; Solanaceae
Description: long non-coding RNA (NTAB_LNC015510)
Source: RNAcentral